UACGUAGGGUGCGAGCGUUGUCCGGAAUUAUUGGGCGUAAAGAGCUCGUAGGCGGUCUGUCGCGUCGAUCGUGAAAACUUGGGGCUUAACCCUGAGCUUGCGGUCGAUACGGGCAUGACUGGAGUUCGGCAGGGGAGACUGGAAUUCCUGGUGUAGCGGUGAAAUGCGCAGAUAUCAGGAGGAACACCGGUGGCGAAGGCGGAUCUCUGGGCCUUACCUGACGCUGAGGCGCGAAAGCUAGGGGAGCGAACAGG
This 254-nucleotide ribosomal RNA is filed under the name uncultured bacterium. Its description in RNAcentral is "partial 16S ribosomal RNA". It matches the Rfam family "Bacterial small subunit ribosomal RNA", at positions 524 to 776 of the family's 1533-position model. The record is from RNAcentral.